CUUUCAACCAAUACAUCACAGCAAAGUCUAACAGCUUCACAGCUUGAUUCUGAUGUAGUGCUUCCAGCUGUAAGCCCGGCUUGCACUAAGCUUAAGGUGUCUGCUUGUAUGACUCGUACUUUCUCCACGAGGUCUUCGGCCCAACUACUAUCAAUUAAACCAAG
Long non-coding RNA from Solanum stenotomum, 164 nucleotides. RefSeq lists it as uncharacterized. The transcript is spliced from 2 exons. The record is from RefSeq and is a predicted model, not a curated record. NCBI's taxonomy places the organism in Eukaryota, Viridiplantae, Streptophyta, Magnoliopsida, Solanales, Solanaceae.